RNAcentral lists this ribosomal RNA (468 nucleotides) under uncultured bacterium. RNAcentral describes it as "partial 16S ribosomal RNA". It matches the Rfam family "Bacterial small subunit ribosomal RNA", at positions 28 to 507 of the family's 1533-position model. The record is from RNAcentral.
GACGAACGCUGGCGGCGUGCUUAACACAUGCAAGUCGAACGGAAAGGCUCUGCUCUUGUGGGGUGCUCGAGUGGCGAACGGGUGAGUAACACGCGAGUAACCUGCCCUUGACUUUGGGAUAACUUCAGGAAACUGGGGCUAAUACCGGAUAGAAGCUCCUGCUGCACGGUGGGGGUUGGAAAGUUUCGGCGGUUGGGGAUGGACGCGCGGCUUAUCAGCGUGUUGGUGGGGUAGUGGCUUACCAAGGCUUUGACGGGUAGCCGGCCUGAGAGGGUGACCGGCCACAUUGGGACUGAGGAAGGGCCCAGACUGCUACGGGCGGCAGCAGUGGGGGAUAUUGCGCGAUGGGCGGAAGCCUGAUGCAGCAACGCCGCGUGCGAGAUGACGGUCUUCGGGUUGGAAGCCGCUUUCGCCUGUGACGAAGCGUGAGUGACGGUAAUGGGUAAAGAAGCACCGGCUAACUACGUG